GAGGGUAACAGAGAGUGCUUGCACUCUGCUGACGACCGGCGCACGGGUGAAGUAACGCGUAUGCAACCUACCUUUUACAGAGGGAUACCCAAGAGAAAUUUUGAAUAAUACCUCAUAAGCUCUAUUUAUAGCAUUUUAAAUAGAGGAAAACUCCGGUGGUAAAAGAUGGGCAUGCGUCCUAUUAGUUUGUUGGUAAGGUAACGGCUUACCAAGACUACGAUAGGUAGGGGUCCUGAGAGGGAGACCCCCCACACUGGUACUGAGACACGGACCAGACUCCUACGGGAGGCAGCAGUAAGGAAUAUUGGACAAUGGAGGAAACUCUGAUCCAGCCAUGCAGCGUGCAGGAAGACGGCCCUAUGGGUUGUAAACUGCUUUUAUACAGGAAGAAAUCUAUCCACGUGUGGGUAGUUGACGGUACUGUACGAAUAAGGAUCGGCUAACUCCGUGCCAGCAGCCGCGGUAAUACGGAGGAUCCAAGCGUUAUCCGGAAUCAUUGGGUUUAAAGGGUCCGUAGGCGGUCUAUUAAGUCAGAGGUGAAAUCCUGCCGCUCAACGGUAGAAUGGCCUUUGAUACUGAUAGACUUGAGUUAUUGUGAAGUAGUUAGAAUGUGUAGUGUAGCGGUGAAAUGCAUAGAUAUUACACAGAAUACCAAUUGCGAAGGCAGAUUACUAACAAUACACUGACGCUGAGGGACGAAAGCGUGGGUAGCGAACAGGAUUAGAUACCCUGGUAGUCCACGCCGUAAACGAUGGUCACUAGCUGUUUGACUAACAUUGGUUAGUUGAGUGGCUAAGCGAAAGUGAU
Molecule: ribosomal RNA, 807 nt
Filed under: uncultured Bacteroidota bacterium
Lineage: Bacteria; Pseudomonadati; Bacteroidota
Description: bacterial SSU rRNA
Rfam family: Bacterial small subunit ribosomal RNA
Source: RNAcentral